This 494-nucleotide ribosomal RNA is filed under the name uncultured bacterium. RNAcentral describes it as "partial 16S ribosomal RNA". It matches the Rfam family "Bacterial small subunit ribosomal RNA", at positions 28 to 507 of the family's 1533-position model. The record is from RNAcentral.
GACGAACGCUGGCGGCGCGCUUAACACAUGCAAGUCGAACGGAAAGGCCUGCUUUCCCUUGUGGAUUGCGGGUACUCGAGUGGCGAACGGGUGAGUAACACGCGAGUGAUCUGCCCCCAACUUGGGUAUAAGCCUGGGAAACUGGGUCUAAUUCUCGAUAGGACUGCAGGGUGGUGCCUGUGGUGGAAAAUGAUUUUCUAGUGGUUGGGGAUGCGCGCGCGGACUAUCAGCGUGUUGGUGGGGUAAUGGACUACCAAGGCGGGGACGGGUAGCCAGCGGGAGAGGGUGGACAGCCGCACUGAGACUGGGAUACGACCCAGACUCCAACGAGAGGCAGCAGUGGGGAAUAAAGCAGCGUGAGCGGGAGCCAGAUGCGGCGACUCCGCGUGGAGGAUGACGGCCUUCGAGUUGUAAGCUCCUUGCGAACACGAGGAAGCCACCUAGUUGUAAGGGUGGUGACGGUAGUGGAAGAAGAAGCACCGGCUAACUACGUG